This is a non-coding RNA of Pelobates cultripes (western spadefoot toad), 375 nucleotides long. NCBI's taxonomy places the organism in Eukaryota, Metazoa, Chordata, Amphibia, Anura, Pelobatidae. The record is from the annotation of a GenBank genome assembly.
GUUAUACUUUUAGCUAGUGUAAUAAAACACACAUAUUUGUAUUCAGAAAUGUCUCAUGAGUACAACCGCACCCCCCAUAUAUAGGUUUUAUGAUGUUUUGGAAAUUAAAGGGUCAAAUAUAGCACUUUCAACAUUUCAGGUUAUAUACAUUGAAAUUUGCCAGAUUGCUUUGCCGGGCCUAUGUUGCCUUUGAGACUUUACUGUAGUUCAGGAAUGAAAAUCACCCCCAUCAUGGCAUAGCAUUUGCAAAAGUAGACAACCCAGGGUGUUCAAAAUGGAGUAUGUCCAGUAUAUUUUAGUAGCCACUUAGUCAGAAUCCCUGGCCAAAGUUAACUUGCAUAUUUUAUUUUUCACAUAAAAACAGCUCUUUCACGG